This 346-nucleotide ribosomal RNA is filed under the name Zeugodacus diaphorus. RNAcentral describes it as "partial 16S ribosomal RNA". The record is from RNAcentral. Lineage: Eukaryota; Metazoa; Arthropoda; Insecta; Diptera; Tephritidae.
GGCUGGUAUGAACGGUUGGACGAGGUAUAAGCUGUUUCAUAUAAAUUUAUAGUAGAAUUUUAUAUUUUAGUCAAAAAGCUAAAAUGUUAUUAAAAGACGAGAAGACCCUAUAAAUCUUUAUAUUUUAUAGUAUUUAAAUUUUUUAGAUUUGUUUUAUUUUUAUAUUAUAAAAUAUUUUGUUGGGGUGAUGUUAAAAUUUAAUGAACUUUUAAUUGUUUAAAAUCAUUAAUUUAUGAGUUAUUGAUCCAUUAGUAGUGAUUAUAAGAUUAAGUUACUUUAGGGAUAACAGAGUAAUUUUUUUGGAGAGUUCAUAUCGAUAAAAAAGUUUGAGACCUCGAUGUUGGAU